This is an RNA transcript of Canis lupus familiaris (dog), 6405 nucleotides long. It is a transcript of the gene named ataxin 7 like 1, with no coding region annotated. The transcript has 14 exons. NCBI's taxonomy places the organism in Eukaryota, Metazoa, Chordata, Mammalia, Carnivora, Canidae. The record is from RefSeq and is a predicted model, not a curated record.
UUCAGAGCACUCAAUGUCGGAACGUUCCGAAGAUGACGUCGGAGCGUUCUCGAAUCCCGUGUCUCUCGGCUGCUGCUGCCGAAGGAACAGGGAAAAAGCAACAAGAAGGAAGAGCAAUGGCGACACUGGAUCGCAAAGUGCCCAGUCCGGAGGCGUUUCUGGGCAAGCCCUGGUCCUCCUGGAUCGACGCCGCCAAAUUACACUGCUCCGACAAUGUAGAUUUAGAAGAGGCUGGAAAAGAGGGUGGAAAAAGCAGGGAGGUUAUGAGGCUUAAUAAAGAAGAUAUGCACUUAUUCGGCCACUACCCCGCACACGACGACUUCUACCUCGUGGUGUGCAGCGCCUGCAAUCAGGCCGUCAAGCCACAGGUGUUCCAGGCGCACUGCGAGAGAAGACACGGUUCAAUGUGUAGACCUUCUCCCUCGCCAGCAUCUCCACCCUCCAAUUCCAGGACGUCAUUAGUACAGGUGAAAACAAAAGCCUGUCUCAGCGGCCAGAACUCUGCCAGCAGCACCUCAAAGCCAUUCAAAACGCCCAAAGACAAUCUACUUACCUCCAGCAGCAAACAGCACACGGUCUUUUCUGCAAAAGGAUCAAGGGACAAACCAUGCGUUCCGGUUCCUGUAGUCAGUUUAGAGAAAAUUCCUAACCUAGUGAAGGCAGAUGGUGCCAAUGUCAAAAUGAACUCUGCAACCACUACCGCGGUCACCUCCUGCUCCUCCUCAUCCUCUGCCGUCUCCACCCCACCUUUAAUUAAGCCAGUCUUGAUGUCCAAGCCAGUGCCACCUUCCCCAGAGAAGAUCUUAAAUGGCAAAGGAAUUUUGUCUGCCACAAUAGACAAGAAACACCAAAAUGGCACCAAAAACAACAACAAGCCUUACAGGAGACUUUCAGAGAGAGAAUUUGACCCAAAUAAACACUGUGGAGUAUUGGAUCCCGAGACAAAGAAACCUUGCACAAGAUCCCUCACCUGCAAGACGCACUCGCUAAGCCAUCGGAGGGCAGUCCCAGGCCGGAAAAAGCAAUUUGACCUCCUUCUGGCAGAACACAAAGCCAAGUCCCGGGAAAAAGAAGUUAAAGAUAAAGAGCAUCUCCUGACUUCGGCAAGGGAAGUACUUCCUAACCAACCUGGGCCGGCGCAGGACUCUCUGCCAGGACCUUCAGGGAGCUCUGGGCCAGAACCGAAAGUCGCAUCCCCUGCCAAAUCCAGGCCACCUAACUCUGUGCUUCCUAGACCAUCAUCUGCAAAUAGCAUCAGCAGCAGCACAUCUUCAAACCACAGUGGCUACACCCCGGAACCUCCCCUGCCCCCAGCUGGAGGUGACCUCACCAGCCGACUGUCGAGUGAUGAAGGGGAGAUGGACGGUGCUGACGAACCCGAGAAGUUAGACUGUCAUUUCUCUACCCACCACCCCAGACCUCUUGCGUUUUGCUCAUUCGGGAGUCGCCUCAUGGGACGCGGGUACUAUGUGUUUGAUAGAAGAUGGGAUCGUUUUCGAUUCGCACUAAACUCCAUGGUAGAAAAACACUUGAAUUCACAGAUGUGGAAGCACAGAAACCCGAGCCCCAGGGCGUCAGGUCCCUCCCCCCUUUUCAGGACUUGCCUAACCAAUCUGCUGUCACUGAGCAACAUUGGGGCUGCCUGGGUGUCAACUCUGGAGAGCGUAGCGCCCCGCUGCCCUCUCAGCCUCGCUGCCCAAACCCCAGGCCCCGACGGGCCCGAACCUGGAGGGAUGGCAGCCGAUGGGGGCGUGGAAGACAUUAGGAAGAAAAGGAACGGCCAAGACUCUUUUUUCUUUAACAAGCAUUUAACUCUGCAUCAGGAGACGCCAACACAGUAUUCUCUUGCAGCCAGGAAGAUCCCUCCUGCGGCAGAUAGCCCCAUGCCCUCGCCAGCAGCCCACAUCACCACCCCCGUUCCAGCAUCCGUUUCACAGCCUUUCAACAACCCCAGUGCUGUGUAUCUUCCUUCAGCUCCCAUCAGCUCGAGACUCACCUCUUCUUACAUAAUGACAUCAGCCAUGCUCUCAAACGCAGCUUUUGUGGCGUCGCCGGACCCGAGCGCCCUCAUGUCACACACCACAGCUUUCCCCCAUGUGGCCGCAACCCUCAGCAUCAUGGACUCAACCUUCAAGGCCCCAUCCGCCGUGUCCCCGAUACCAGCUGUCACCCCUUCCCCAUCCCACAAGCCAUCCAAAACCAAAACCAGCAAAUCCUCAAAAGUCAAAGACCUGUCUGCCCGUAGCGACGAGUCUCCAAGUAACAAAAAGAGGAAGCCGCAGCCUUCGACUUCCUCCUCCUCCUCCUCCUCCUCAUUAACCUUGCAGACAUCCCUCUCGUCUCCAUUAUCAGGGCCCCACAAAAAGAACUGUGUCUUGAAUGCCAGUUCAGCUUUGAACUCCUAUCAGGCGGCCCCCCCCUAUAACAGUCUGUCUGUGCACAACUCAAACAAUGGGGUGAGCCCCCUCAGUGCCAAACUGGAGCCCUCAGGACGGACCUCGCUGCCCGGCGGCCCCGCGGACAUAGUGAGACACGUGGGCUCGGUGGGCGGCAGCAGUGACUCCUGUCCCCUCUCUGUGCCCUCCCUUGCAGGGGACCUCUCUCUGGCCUCACACAAUGCCGUCUCUUCGCUGCCCCUCUCUUUUGACAAAUCAGAAGGAAAAAAGCGUAAGAACUCGAGUUCUAGUAGCAAAGCCUGUAAAAUCACUAAAAUGCCUGGUAUGAAUAGCGUUCACAAAAAGAACCCGCCCAGCCUUCUCGCUCCGGUGCCCGAUCCCGCUAACAGCACCUCCUCUCGGCAGGUCGGGAAAAAUAGCAGCCUAGCUUUGUCACAAUCCAGUCCUUCAAGCAUCUCCAGCCCAGGACACAGCCGACCGAAGACCACAAACAGAACGGGCAGGAUAAGGACUCUUCCAUAACAAGACUGUGAAGCCACUUCCAAACCAAUGCCUGGCCACCCGAGGCCCAGGCGGGAGGAGGAGGAGGAGGAGGGAGGGGAGUGCGCAGCCGGGGCGAGGCUUUCCUGGGCCGUGCCUGUGGCUCUGGCCUUUCUUCUUCCUUUUAGUUUAUUUUAUUUUAUUACUAUUAUUAUUUUUUUUUUUUUUGCAAUUGACCAGUUUUUAGUUUUUGAAGAAAAAAAAAAAAAAACAAGGCAAAAGAACGUGAAUUUCAGAUUUACAGAAAACAAUACCAGUGUUUUGUUUCGGUUCUUUCAUUGGCCAUGUGUAUACGUUCUUCCAAGUUUGGGGUCGCCCCUCUAGCUUCCGAUGCUGCUACCGCACCGUCCUUGCGCUCCAGCCCCGAGAGCCGACGUUGCACAACGUUGCACAAUGUCAGCUCCCGCUCGGCAUCGUCUGAAACUCUUGAACUUGAGCACGCGCAGUGCUCCUCCCCUUGACCUCGCCCACCCGUCCACCCCUUGCCCCUCCCCGCUGCUCCCGGGUCCCCCCACCCCGACCCAAAUCGGCUCCCCCAGGUCUGUGCACUGCACCAGCGCUGCGGGAGCCACACGCUCUGGGCAAAGCCGGGAGGAGCGGCCAGUGGACCGUGUCGUUGAGCCAAUACCACUGUCCAGCUGUGCAGCUCAGAGAGGAUCUGCUGGGUCAGGGACGGGCCGGAUGGGCCUGGAAGGUGACAAGAAGCAGAGCAUAUGCGUAGGGGAAGGUAGCCCUCAAAAAGACAGGUAACUGGGUGACUGCUGACCUGAGCUUGUUAGGAAUCCAUGCUCUGCAGAACCUUCCAGGGUGCCAGGGACAAGCGCGCCAAAGCUAGGGGGACCCAAGAAGGAGAAAUCCCAGGAAGAAGGGCACGGGAACCCCAGGAAGCCACUCAGGAGGGGGCACGGUGCCCUCAGCGGUGGCAGUUCUCAGGCUGCCCUCCGGGGCUAGGCAGGAGGAGAAAGAGCAGUGCUGGGGGUGCAGGAAGCAUCCGGGGCAAGCUUCCACGAGGGUCGAGUAGCAAACACCUGGUGAGAAUAAAUCCGAGCACUGCCCACCCGCCUCGGGGUCCCAGGCUCCAGGGUCCCGUGCAACGGGCACACCCGUAGAUGAGCUUGCACUAGGCUCUUCCAAGCCCCAACUCAGAUGCAGCCACCCCGGGGGGGGGGGGGGGGUGCAGCAAGCCCAGCUCCCCCGAGUGGAGAAGAGCUAUUUGGAAGAGCGGGAGAGAAGCUAGAGCCCUACGGCUAUAACACUGUCCACACUGGAGUUUUGAAAGAAAUAGCAAUACCACAAGCUGCGCUAGGGACCGGUAAUCGGGAAAGGAAUUGACCACGUGAACUAGGCAUCCUGUGCUAUUAACCAUGAAAUUUUGCAGACGAUGUGAUAGCAGGAGAUACUAGGAAGUUUUGCUUCAUCCCCAAUUCCGAAGUGAAUGCCAGUUUUGCAGCUGGGCCCAAACCCUCAUCCCUACCCUAAAGUUUCCCUCUCUUCCUUCCCAUCCCCACAACCCAAAGAUCAGACUACUGUUACGUUUCACCACAUUGGAUUUUGCGAAGACGGGAGGCAAAUGGAGUGAUUUGUAUCAAUGGAAUUGCACUGACCAUGUUUCUUAUAGGAUUCCUAAAAUUUUUAAUAUAAAAUGAAGAUUUUUUUAAAAAUCAGGAGUUGAUAUUAGGUACCAGGACCUUAGUUCAGAUGAUUUCAUUUUUAUUUCUACAGUGUUAAAAGUGCACUUAUAUGCUGGUUUAUUUACGUCUUGGGAAAAAGAGACUACAAAUUGAAGGGAAGAUGGUUACUUUUUCUUUUUUUAAAAAAAAAAGUUAAGGCAGAUUUUAAGACUUAUAAAAUGUUUAAGAAAUUAUAAACAGGUUAGACCCUUUGGAAAAAAAAGUUUAGAAGAUAUUCUUAAAGUAAAUUUUUAUAGUGUUAAUUUUGUAAUAAUUUAUGUUUUACUAUAUUACAGAGCUAACUGACCAGAAUAGUUUCAGAAACAAUAUGAAACGUAGGAAAGUUUAAGCAAUGUUUAUAUUUUUAAAAUGUUCUUUGAAUUAUGUUUUUAUUGUACAUUUCUUCAGACUGAAAAGUAUGUACAUAUCUUUGUUAUUUUUGCACAAUUUUUGUCCUGUUCGGUUUUAGAAGUCUGUUGUGUUUUUUUUUUUUAUAAUUUAUUUUAAGUUGUAAAACUUGCAGGAGUAAAAAAACAAAAAAAAAAAAAUCUCAGCAACAAAAUAACCCUCUGAUUUAUAAACUCUUUCACUCAGAGAGGGAAAACAAAGGUUGAGAGAUUAAGUGGCUGCUUCUGAGAAAAAAAUGUCUCGACAGGGACGAAAGGAGCAAUUCAAUAGGCUUAAACAUUUUAGCUGUCUACAUCUUGAAUUGCAGCUGGAAUAAAGAGGCUCCCCACCGAAUGCUGCUUACUUGAUGAAAGACUGGCUCUGACCAAGUGUUCCCACCUGAUGAGCCUUCCUGCUAGAACACACAUUUGAUAGAUCGAAGAGAGUGAGUUCGUUCAACAAAUAUUUAUGGAGCAUCUUGUCGUGGCUGCCCCUGAGCUAGGCGCUCUGUGCUCAGUGGUGAGAAACAGACACAGUCCCAGCUGCUCUCUGGAAGCAACCCAGUGGGGAAGACACUAAAUAAAUAAACACACGAUCAAAUGUGUAAUUACAGAUUGUAGCGAAUGCUGUGGUGGAGAGAAUUGAAUUCUGUGAGAAAAGAAAAGGAGAAGCCGACAUAAAACGGGUGAUGGUGGGGUGCUAUCUGGGAGUCCCCUCUGAGGAAGUGGGCUGAAGGCACAGUGGGAGGGAGCGAAUCCCAGGCAGAGCUGGUCCAAGGUAAAAGCCUAUAAGUUCUUAGAGCCUGAGGAAGAUCCACUGAGGGCCACACAGGGGGAGAAAGAUGAACAGAAGUCAGGGCAAGGUCACAAAAGGCCUCACAGAGUUUGGAUUUCAUGCUCAGUUCAGUGGGAAUCCUUUGAAAGACUUUAAGUAGGGUCGUAGCAUGGCGGAGAAUCACUUGGAAGCUCUUUCAAGAGACCAGGUGAGAUGUAAUGUGUGCUCCCAAGAUGAUGAUGGUAGAGAUAAAGAGAAGCGAAUAGAAUCAAGGUAUAUUAAAUUGACAAGACUUGCUUAGGAAUCGGAUCCGAGAAUAGGGAAAAGAUUGUGUUAGGUAGCGAUGCCUGCCAUUUCGUCAGAUGUGGAAACCAGAGGAGGAAUGAGUUUUUUAGGAGGGGUGUUUGGUGGAGCCCAGAAGUCCUGUUUUGUGCACGUGUGUUGGCUCAUAACUGGGAUCACUGGAACACUAAAGCUGCUGUGCCAAUACCCAUGGCAUACUCAUGACUGAAACCAUCAGCAGCCCUAAGUUGGAGGCACCAGUUUGGGAACUGUUAGUAUAUGAAUGAAAUUUAGAGCCACAAAAAAAAAAAAAAAAAAGAAAGAAAAGAAAUUUAGAGCCACAAGCACGAGUGGGA